GCUCCCCGACAGGACACAGAGAUCCACUCACCAGUUUCAGAUUGCCCAAACCCAAGAUCGAAGAUGACAGAAGGAGGGCUGCUGCUGUUGGUGUCUCCUCUAUCUCUUUCCCGGCUGGAAAUGAUGCAGACAAUUAUUUGAGGUUUGAAGAGAUACUGUAUAAAUGUAGUGAACUUGGAAAAACCUGAAGUGAUUUCCAGUCCUUUCAGAAACAUAAAAUGAGAAAGACUAGAGAGAAACUGUCAAUAUAAAAAACAUGGGAAAGCCUACUCUGAUCUUAAUGAACAAACUCACCCUGGAGAGAAAAUGUUUCUAGGUCAGCAAGAACAUAAUUUGUCUGCAGGUGGAUAUCAUGAAUUACAGUAAUAAAUCUCUCCAAAAGGUAUAAAUGAUGGAAUGAUUUAUCAGUAACAACAUUAUCAAUGGAAUUUUUGUUCACAGUGAAAUUGUUUGGGGAAGAACAAUUAUUGGAUGUGGUGAGGCAAAUGCCUUUACUCUAUUCCUUGCUGCUGGGAUUGACAUUCUCUUUUCUAAUCAAUAUUGCUUUAACUAAGAAGAUGAAAUAAGGCCAUGAAGGAAAAGAAACAGUUUAAUAAAAAGAGGAAAUUUAUUACUUUCUGAUUCAGAUAGUGUUCUGUUUUAGCAAUUUUAGAGAUGAAUUUCUACAAUGUCUUUUCAUUAACUAUAAGGAACACUGUCUGAGAUUUGAGAUGUGUGUGAACACGUUAAAACACACAGGCUUAUGCACUUGUGACUAUGAUUCCCAGUUGGUCGCCUUGUCUGAUUUUUGC
This 791-nucleotide long non-coding RNA is filed under the name Heterocephalus glaber (naked mole-rat). Its description in RNAcentral is "lncRNA (ENSHGLG00000032862.1)". The record is from RNAcentral. Lineage: Eukaryota; Metazoa; Chordata; Mammalia; Rodentia; Bathyergidae.